Molecule: long non-coding RNA, 294 nt
Organism: Melozone crissalis (California towhee)
Lineage: Eukaryota; Metazoa; Chordata; Aves; Passeriformes; Passerellidae
Exons: 3
Source: RefSeq, a predicted model, not a curated record
CCCGGCGCGGCCAGCGGGAAACCCUGCGUCCCUCAUGCGCAGCAAACCGGUGCUGGUGGAGGCGGCUCCACAGCUGCGCCUUCCCCGCCAUGAUCUGGCGAGGCCCCUUCAUGGCCGGUGCCGCUCUCCGCCGGCCCCGGCGCUGAGCGGCUGCGGCGGGAGGAACCGAGCGAGCCUGGCAGUGGACAAAAGAUGAAGUGACCAGGAUGGUGUGAGUUCAGAAAUGCAGGGUGAUCCUUCAGGAGGGGGCUGCCCAAGAAACUUCAGCCACCUUGCUGACUAGGCAGACCAGAG